UUGUAAGGUGCAACUGCAUCACUAUGAGAUGGACCUGCGUUGUAUUAGCUAGUUGUUGAGGUGGAGAAACACCAAGGCGACGAUACAUAGCCGACCUGAGAGGGUGAACGGCCACACUGGGACUGAGACUCGGCCCUGACUCCUACGGGAGGCAGCAGUAGGGAAUCUUCGGCAAUGGUCUGAAGUCUGACCGAGCAACGCCGCGUGAGUGAAGAAGGUUUCGGAUCGUAAAGCUCCUGUGUAGGGAAGA
This 250-nucleotide ribosomal RNA is filed under the name Streptococcus dysgalactiae. Its description in RNAcentral is "partial 16S ribosomal RNA". It matches the Rfam family "Bacterial small subunit ribosomal RNA", at positions 200 to 448 of the family's 1533-position model. The record is from RNAcentral. Lineage: Bacteria; Bacillati; Bacillota; Bacilli; Lactobacillales; Streptococcaceae.